ACAGAGGGUGCGAGCGUUAAUCGGAAUUACUGGGCGUAAAGCGCACGUAGUCGGCUUGUCAAGUCGGGUGUGAAAUCCCCGGGCUCAACCUGGGAACUGCAUCCGAAACUGACUUGCUAGAGUAUGGGAGAGGGAGGCGGAAUUUCUGGUGUAGCAGUGAAAUGCGUAGAUAUCAGAAGGAACAUCAGUGGCGAAGGCGGCCUCCUGGACCAAUACUGACGAUCAGGUGCGAAAGCGUGGGGAGCAAACAGGAUUAGAUACCCUGGUAGUCCACGCCCUAAACGAUGACAACUGGAUGUCGGGAGGGUUUGCCUUCCGGUGUCGUAGCUAACGCGUUAAGUUGUCCGCCUGGGAAGUACGGCCGCAAGGUUG
Molecule: ribosomal RNA, 372 nt
Filed under: uncultured bacterium
Lineage: Bacteria
Description: bacterial SSU rRNA
Rfam family: Bacterial small subunit ribosomal RNA
Source: RNAcentral